This 253-nucleotide ribosomal RNA is filed under the name uncultured bacterium. RNAcentral's name for it is "partial 16S ribosomal RNA". It matches the Rfam family "Bacterial small subunit ribosomal RNA", at positions 524 to 776 of the family's 1533-position model. The record is from RNAcentral.
UACGGAGGGGACUAGCGUUGUUCGGAAUUACUGGGCGUAAAGCGCACGUAGGCGGAUUUGUAAGUCAGGGGUGAAAUCCCGGGGCUCAACCCCGGAACUGCCUUUGAUACUGCGAAUCUCGAGUCCGGAAGAGGUGAGUGGAAUUCCUAGUGUAGAGGUGAAAUUCGUAGAUAUUCGGAAGAACACCAGUGGCGAAGGCGACUCACUGGACAGGUAUUGACGCUGAGGUGCGAAAGCGUGGGGAGCAAACAGG